CCGGAUGUACUAGGCCAUGCGAGUCAUUGUAGCAUACAAGGCAUACGGCUCAGUAACGCGUAGUCAACCUAACCUAUGGACGGGAAUAACCUCGGGAAACUGAGAAUAAUGCCCGAUAGAACACUGUACCUGGAAUGGUUUGUGUUCCAAAUGAUUUAUCGCCAUAGGAUGGGACUGCGGCCUAUCAGUUUGUUGGUGAGGUAAUGGCCCACCAAGACUAUUACAGGUACGGGCUCUGAGAGGAGUAGCCCGGAGAUGGGUACUGAGACACGGACCCAGGCCCUAUGGGGCGCAGCAGGCGAGAAAACUUUGCAAUGUGCGAAAGCACGACAAGGUUAAUCCGAGUGAUUUGUGCUAAACGAAUCUUUUGUUAGUCCUAGAAACACUAACGAAUAAGGGGUGGGCAAGUUCUGGUGUCAGCCGCCGCGGUAAAACCAGCACCUCAAGUGGUCAGGAUGAUUAUUGGGCCUAAAGCAUCCGUAGCCGGCUCUGUAAGUUUUCGGUUAAAUCUGUACGCUUAACGUACAGGCUGCCGGGAAUACUGCAGAGCUAGGGAGUGGGAGAGGUAGACGGUACUCGGUAGGAAGUGGUAAAAUGCUUUGAUCUAUCGAUGACCACCUGUGGCGAAGCGGUCUACCAGAACACGUCCGACGGUGAGGGAUGAAAGCUGGGGGGAGCAACCGGGAUUAGAUACCCCGGGUUAGUCCAGCUGUAACUAUGCAACUCAGUGAAUGCAUGCCUGGUAUCAUGCAGUGCUGCCAAGGA
RNAcentral lists this ribosomal RNA (765 nucleotides) under uncultured archaeon. RNAcentral describes it as "bacterial SSU rRNA". It matches the Rfam family "Archaeal small subunit ribosomal RNA", at positions 33 to 810 of the family's 1478-position model. The record is from RNAcentral.